GUAGGUAUAGUUCAGUGGCAGAGUGCGUGCUUAGCAUGCACAAGGUCCUGGGUUCAAUCCCUAGAACCUCCA
Molecule: transfer RNA, 72 nt
Filed under: Camelus bactrianus (Bactrian camel)
Lineage: Eukaryota; Metazoa; Chordata; Mammalia; Artiodactyla; Camelidae
Also listed under: 1 other name
Rfam family: tRNA
About the family: Transfer RNA (tRNA) molecules are approximately 80 nucleotides in length. Their secondary structure includes four short double-helical elements and three loops (D, anti-codon, and T loops).
Source: Rfam by way of RNAcentral